RNAcentral lists this ribosomal RNA (422 nucleotides) under uncultured bacterium. Its description in RNAcentral is "partial 16S ribosomal RNA". It matches the Rfam family "Bacterial small subunit ribosomal RNA", at positions 359 to 773 of the family's 1533-position model. The record is from RNAcentral.
GAAUUUUGGACAAUGGGCGAAAGCCUGAUCCAGCAAUGCCGCGUGCAGGAUGAAGGCCUUCGGGUUGUAAACUGCUUUUGUACGGAACGAAAAGCUUUGGGUUAAUACCCUGGAGUCAUGACGGUACCGUAAGAAUCAGCACCGGCUAACUACUUGCCAGCCGCCGCGGUAAUACGUAGGGUGCAAGCGUUAAUCGGAAUUAAUGAGCGUAAAGCGUGCGCCGGCGGUUUUGUAAGACAGAGGUGAAAUCCCCGGGAUCAACCUGGGAACUGCCGUUGUGACCGGAAGGGUAGAGUACGGCAGAGGGGAGUGGAAUUCCGCGUGUAGCAGUGAAAUGCGUAGAUAUGCGGAGGAACACAGAUGGCGAAGGCAACCCCCUGGGCCUGUACUGACGCUCAUGCACGAAAGCGUGGGGAGCAAAC